Non-coding RNA from Macaca mulatta (Rhesus monkey), 743 nucleotides. The record is from RefSeq and is a predicted model, not a curated record. Lineage: Eukaryota; Metazoa; Chordata; Mammalia; Primates; Cercopithecidae.
CACGAGCCUUGAGGCAGGCGGGGUUCCAGCGCGCCGAGGCCGCCCUCAACCGCUCAGAGCGUCUGUUGCUGGCGGUUCAUGGCGGGGAGACUAGCAGCGCGAGAGCAAAGGGCGGUUACCAACGGCCUUCGCUCUCAUGGCGUCCUUCUUGGUGUUACCUAAAAAUAAAGCCAAGUGUGAUUAGAAGGACUGAAACCUCAGACACAGGGAGCUGGCCUAUUCACCUUAGAAUCCUCUGGGGCACCCACUACAGUGUCUGCAGCAAGGAGUCAAUAAAGAACCGGGGAACAGACUGGAGCAGAAGGACCACCCAGCAGAGCCAAGCCAAAUCACUGACCCUCAGAGACCUGAUGUGAAUGCUUAUGGUUUCAGUCCACUGGAUUCUGCAGUAAUCUGCCGAUCUGCAAUAUUACCACAGUAAAUAAUGGAUAGACCUGAAAAUGAACGUGUACCUCAUGCCAAAAUUGCAGAUACCCUGUGAGCAGGAAACCUCAGCAGUAGAAACAAUUUUAUAUGAGGGAAUGUACUCUCUCCUUUGCAUUUUUCCUCAAAUCUGUAUUUUUAGUCCCUCACUUGUCUCUACAGAGACAAGUCUCUACAGAGACAAGUGAGUUGCUUAAUCUAAUUGCUGACUGUACAUCUCCAGGAAACUGUGUGUAUGUGUUUAUAUUCAUAGUAUAUGUAUUUAUUAUCUGUUUACUUCCAUGGGAUGUAGUCUCCCUAAGAGAGUAGUCAUGAUUGUA